Lutzomyia longipalpis is the source of this 336-nucleotide long non-coding RNA. RefSeq lists it as uncharacterized. NCBI's taxonomy places the organism in Eukaryota, Metazoa, Arthropoda, Insecta, Diptera, Psychodidae. The record is from RefSeq and is a predicted model, not a curated record. The transcript has 2 exons.
UUUCCAACAACCAUCACUUCAAACAAUUACUUGCAUCAGUUAAGUAACCAACCAAUUCAAAAUGAUGAAAUUCUUGAUCUUCGCUUUCCUCGUUGCCUUCGCUGUUUCUGCCGUCGUGGCUGAACCUAACCCAGGUUACCCAGGUUAUGGAUAUGGCUACCCCUAUGGAGGCUACCCCUAUGGAGGCUACCCAUAUGGAGGAUAUCCUUAUGGAGGUGGUUAUGGAGGCUACCCAGGAGGAUAUGGACCUUAUUAGUCUUCUUGACAGAGUAUUCCUAAAUCACCUUUAUUGAGUGUAUUUAGAGAAGAAUUUCAAUAAAAAUUUGAGAAGUCAAA